AUGCAAGUCGAGCGGAUGACGGGGGCUUGCUCCUUGAUUCAGCGGCGGACGGGUGAGUAAUGCCUAGGAAUCUGCCUGGUAGUGGGGGACAACGUUUCGAAAGGAACGCUAAUACCGCAUACGUCCUACGGGAGAAAGCAGGGGACCUUCGGGCCUUGCGCUAUCAGAUGAGCCUAGGUCGGAUUAGCUAGUUGGUGGGGUAAUGGCUCACCAAGGCGACGAUCCGUAACUGGUCUGAGAGGAUGAUCAGUCACACUGGAACUGAGACACGGUCCAGACUCCUACGGGAGGCAGCAGUGGGGAAUAUUGGACAAUGGGCGAAAGCCUGAUCCAGCCAUGCCGCGUGUGUGAAGAAGGUCUUCGGAUUGUAAAGCACUUUAAGUUGGGAGGAA
Molecule: ribosomal RNA, 392 nt
Filed under: uncultured Pseudomonas sp.
Lineage: Bacteria; Pseudomonadati; Pseudomonadota; Gammaproteobacteria; Pseudomonadales; Pseudomonadaceae
Description: bacterial SSU rRNA
Rfam family: Bacterial small subunit ribosomal RNA
Source: RNAcentral